ACAGACAGAGUGUGCGCUUCCAUUUCUUUUGCGACGACGUGCCUCUCUAAACACCAGCUCUUCUCGUUCUGUCCGUAAAAGACAAAGAAACAUGUCCGACGAAGGAAAACUUUUCGUCGGUGGCCUGAGCUUCGACACAACAGAAGAAUCUCUGGCUGAAGCUUUCGCUAAGUAUGGUAACAUUGCAAAAGUUGAUGUCAUCAGGGACAAAGAAACGGGAAGGUCUCGUGGAUUCGGCUUCGUAAAGUACGAUAAUGCCGAGGAUGCGAAGGACGCUUUGGAUGGCAUGAACGGCAAGUCCGUUGACGGCAGAACAAUUCGUGUGGAUGAGGCAGGCAAGGGUGGUGGUCGUUCAGGAGGAGGCGGCGGUGGUGGAUUCAGAGGGUCCAGAGGAGGUGGUGGAUAUGGCGGUGGAGGUGGAUAUGGAGGGGGGAGAGGAAGAGGUGGGCGAGUUUACUCGCGAGGUGGUGGAGGAUAUGGUGGUGGUGGUGACAGGGGAUAUGGUGAGAGGAGUUAUGGUGGCGGCGGAGACCGGAGUUAUGGUGGCGGUGGAGACCGGAGCUAUGGAAGUGGCGGUGGAUACAGGAGCGGUGGUGGUGGCGGUGGAGGAUACUCUUCUGGUGGCGGAGGAUACAGGGACAAUAGGGGCCAGGGAGGCUACGGGGAUCGCUCUGGGGGAUCCUACAGAGACAGCUACGACAGUUAUGGGUGAGUUAACUUUUUGGAGACUGAACUCUCCAGUGGCAGAUGGUGAUAAACUGGAAUCUCCUGCAGCAGUGUUCCAGGUCCAGUGGUGUGAGUAGCAGUGGAGUCCACAUCAACCCAGUACUCUGCAUUGGCUGAGUUCUGUCUUCAAUGCAGUCACUGGUUCCCAGGAGUUCUGGGAAAAAAUAUUUUCUCAUCUUAAACAUUUUGUAUAGAGAUCCUACAAGCUGCAUCUCUUUGGGGAAACAGCUUUAGGUGAAGUGAUUUGUCUAUGGGACACCAUACUAACAGUUACAAAAAAAGCUAAUUUCCUCGUGUUGGUGUUCAUAGCUCUAAACGGAUGUAGUCAAUCGUUUCACCUGUUCCAGUAACUAGUUGUUUUUAAAGUAACCUGUUUCUAUGUACAUUUAGCAGAAGUUCUUAUCCAGAGCGACUUACAAGCGCAAUUAUGAAGUGCCUUACUCAAGGGCAGAUUUUUCACGUAUUUGGCUCAGGGAUUAGAGGCAAUGACCUUUUGGAUACUGGCACUAUCCUCUUAACUGUUACGCUAACAAUAUGAUAUAUUGUGAACUCGUUUCUUCAAUAAAAUCAGACUAACCAACA
RNA transcript from Salvelinus namaycush (lake trout), 1308 nucleotides. It is a transcript of the gene named glycine-rich RNA-binding, abscisic acid-inducible protein-like, with no coding region annotated. NCBI's taxonomy places the organism in Eukaryota, Metazoa, Chordata, Actinopteri, Salmoniformes, Salmonidae. The record is from RefSeq and is a predicted model, not a curated record. The transcript has 8 exons.